Molecule: long non-coding RNA, 103 nt
Organism: Sinocyclocheilus anshuiensis
Lineage: Eukaryota; Metazoa; Chordata; Actinopteri; Cypriniformes; Cyprinidae
Exons: 3
Source: RefSeq, a predicted model, not a curated record
GCUGUUUCAUAAAACAGGUUUACCAAACAAGCCAGGCUUAUUUAAGUUAUUCUGACUUAUUCUGAACCAAAUAAACUGACAAUAACGCCAUGUCCCACGUACA